UAAGGGAGCUAUGCUGGAAGUGCUCCACCUGAUCCCUUUUCGAACUCAGAAGUGAAAUCUUCCAAGGCCGAUGAUAGUAGCUAUGCUGCGAAAGUAGGUAGCUUCCUUAU
Molecule: ribosomal RNA, 110 nt
Filed under: Parcubacteria group bacterium CG10_big_fil_rev_8_21_14_0_10_35_15
Lineage: Bacteria
Source: RNAcentral